GGAGGGCUUCCCGAGGGGCCAAAGGUAGCAGACUGAAAAUCUGCCAGCUCCGCCUUCGAUGGCUCGUAUCCAUCCCCCUCCACCA
Molecule: transfer RNA, 85 nt
Filed under: Vibrio parahaemolyticus
Lineage: Bacteria; Pseudomonadati; Pseudomonadota; Gammaproteobacteria; Vibrionales; Vibrionaceae
Description: tRNA-Phe
Rfam family: tRNA
About the family: Transfer RNA (tRNA) molecules are approximately 80 nucleotides in length. Their secondary structure includes four short double-helical elements and three loops (D, anti-codon, and T loops).
Source: RNAcentral